RNAcentral lists this ribosomal RNA (253 nucleotides) under uncultured bacterium. RNAcentral describes it as "partial 16S ribosomal RNA". It matches the Rfam family "Bacterial small subunit ribosomal RNA", at positions 524 to 776 of the family's 1533-position model. The record is from RNAcentral.
UACGUAGGGGGCGAGCGUUGUCCGGAGUUACUGGGCGUAAAGCGCACGCAGGCGGUCUGCUAAGUUUGGAGUGACAGUUGGUGGCUUAACUGCCAAAGUGCUUCGAAAACUGACAGACUUGAGGGCUUCAGAGGGACACGGAAUUCCGGGUGGAGUGGUGAAAUGCGUAGAGAUCCGGAGGAACACCAAAGGCGAAGGCAGUGUCCUGGGGAGUACCUGACGCUGAUGCGCGACAGCGUGGGGAGCAAACAGG